This 255-nucleotide ribosomal RNA is filed under the name uncultured bacterium. RNAcentral's name for it is "partial 16S ribosomal RNA". It matches the Rfam family "Bacterial small subunit ribosomal RNA", at positions 524 to 776 of the family's 1533-position model. The record is from RNAcentral.
UACGGAGGGUGCGAGCGUUGUCCGGAAUCACUGGGCGUAAAGGGCGCGUAGGCGGCCCGGCAAGUCAGGUGGUGAAAGCCCGAGGCUCAACUUCGGGUCGGCCACUGAUACUGCUAGGCUUGAGUCGACUAGAGGCAGAUGGAAUUCCGGGUGUAGCGGUGGAAUGCGUAGAGAUCCGGAAGAACACCGGUGGCGAAGGCGGGUCUCUGGGCAGUAACUGGACGCUGAGGAGCGAAAGCGUGGGGAGCGAACAGG